Molecule: transfer RNA, 72 nt
Filed under: Camelus ferus (Wild Bactrian camel)
Lineage: Eukaryota; Metazoa; Chordata; Mammalia; Artiodactyla; Camelidae
Rfam family: tRNA
About the family: Transfer RNA (tRNA) molecules are approximately 80 nucleotides in length. Their secondary structure includes four short double-helical elements and three loops (D, anti-codon, and T loops).
Source: Rfam by way of RNAcentral
GUGGGUACAGCUCCGUGGUAGAGCACGUGGUUAACAUGUGCGAGGUCCUGGGUUCAAUUUCCAGUACCUCCA